CGGGAGGCGGCGACGGCGACGGGCGGCGAGAGCGAGCAGCUGAGAGCGGCCAGGGCGCAGAGCAGCGCGGGCAGCCCCAUGGCCGUCGGUUCGCGGCGGUCUGUCUGUCCCGGCCGCGCUGGGAAAGCGAGUGAGGACCGGGCGGAGCCGGACCGCCCCUCCGCCGCUGCUGGGAGAGGCGGGGGCGCCUUCCUGCCGUGCGGGGGCGGGACGGGCCCCGGUUGGAGGGCUGAGCGGCGCCGGGUCCGCCGUCGGGCGGGGUACAGGAAUUUCAACGGGAGGAAGCCUCUGUUCAGAACUGGAUCUGUUACAGGACAUUGUGACGUUACUGCAGAAACACUGAUACUUGACUGAGAAUAGCAAGGAUGGGAAGUCAACUCUUAGCAGCGAGUACUGAUGCCCUGUCAGAUCCAGCGCUAAUCUCAUCUUGCUCUGCAGUGCGCUUCCCACUGUGGCCGUACUGCUGGCCGGCCUG
Molecule: long non-coding RNA, 475 nt
Filed under: Gallus gallus (chicken)
Lineage: Eukaryota; Metazoa; Chordata; Aves; Galliformes; Phasianidae
Description: long non-coding RNA NONGGAT011751
Source: RNAcentral